RNAcentral lists this ribosomal RNA (308 nucleotides) under uncultured bacterium. RNAcentral's name for it is "bacterial SSU rRNA". It matches the Rfam family "Bacterial small subunit ribosomal RNA", at positions 30 to 334 of the family's 1533-position model. The record is from RNAcentral.
AUUGAACGCUGGCGGUAGGCUUAACACAUGCAAGUCGAGCGGUAACAUUUCUAGCUUGCUAGAAGAUGACGAGCGGCGGACGGGUGAGUAACGCGUAGGAAUCUACCGAGUAGUGGGGGACAACCAGUGGAAACGCUGGCUAAUACCGCAUACGCCCUACGGGGGAAAGCAGGGGAUCUUCGGACCUUGCGCUAUUCGAUGAGCCUGCGUGAGAUUAGCUUGUUGGUGAGGUAAUGGCUCACCAAGGCGACGAUCUCUAGCUGGUCUGAGAGGAUGAUCAGCCACACUGGGACUGAGACACGGCCCAG